RNAcentral lists this ribosomal RNA (914 nucleotides) under Enterococcus faecalis. RNAcentral describes it as "bacterial SSU rRNA". It matches the Rfam family "Bacterial small subunit ribosomal RNA", at positions 44 to 927 of the family's 1533-position model. The record is from RNAcentral. Lineage: Bacteria; Bacillati; Bacillota; Bacilli; Lactobacillales; Enterococcaceae.
AUGCGGAUCUAUACAUGCAGUCGACGCUUCUUUCCUCCCGAGUGCUUGCACUCAAUUGGAAAGAGGAGUGGCGGACGGGUGAGUAACACGUGGGUAACCUACCCAUCAGAGGGGGAUAACACUUGGAAACAGGUGCUAAUACCGCAUAACAGUUUAUGCCGCAUGGCAUAAGAGUGAAAGGCGCUUUCGGGUGUCGCUGAUGGAUGGACCCGCGGUGCAUUAGCUAGUUGGUGAGGUAACGGCUCACCAAGGCCACGAUGCAUAGCCGACCUGAGAGGGUGAUCGGCCACACUGGGACUGAGACACGGCCCAGACUCCUACGGGAGGCAGCAGUAGGGAAUCUUCGGCAAUGGACGAAAGUCUGACCGAGCAACGCCGCGUGAGUGAAGAAGGUUUUCGGAUCGUAAAACUCUGUUGUUAGAGAAGAACAAGGACGUUAGUAACUGAACGUCCCCUGACGGUAUCUAACCAGAAAGCCACGGCUAACUACGUGCCAGCAGCCGCGGUAAUACGUAGGUGGCAAGCGUUGUCCGGAUUUAUUGGGCGUAAAGCGAGCGCAGGCGGUUUCUUAAGUCUGAUGUGAAAGCCCCCGGCUCAACCGGGGAGGGUCAUUGGAAACUGGGAGACUUGAGUGCAGAAGAGGAGAGUGGAAUUCCAUGUGUAGCGGUGAAAUGCGUAGAUAUAUGGAGGAACACCAGUGGCGAAGGCGGCUCUCUGGUCUGUAACUGACGCUGAGGCUCGAAAGCGUGGGGAGCAAACAGGAUUAGAUACCCUGGUAGUCCACGCCGUAAACGAUGAGUGCUAAGUGUUGGAGGGUUUCCGCCCUUCAGUGCUGCAGCAAACGCAUUAAGCACUCCGCCUGGGGAGUACGACCGCAAGGUUGAAACUCAGAAAUAAUAGAGUAGCAGCGAAGA